AGAGUUUGAUCCUGGCUCAGGAUGAACGCUAGCGGCAGGCUUAACACAUGCAAGUCGCGGGGUAACGAUGGUUUCGGCCAGGCGACGACCGGCGCACGGGUGAGUAACGCGUAUGCAACCUACCCUUUACUGGGGGAUAGCCCGGAGAAAUCCGGAUUAAUACCCCAUAGUACCAUAAGGUUUCAUGGCCUAAUGGAUAAAACUCAGGUGGUAAAGGAUGGGCAUGCGUGCCAUUAGCUAGUUGGUAAGGUAACGGCUUACCAAGGCUACGAUGGCUAGGGGUUCUAAAAGGAUGGUCCCCCACACUGGUACUGAGACACGGACCAGACUCCUACGGGAGGCAGCAGUGAGGAAUAUUGGUCAAUGGGUGAGAGCCUGAACCAGCCAUGCCGCGUGCAGGAUGACGGCCCUAGUGGUUGUAAACUGCUUUUAUACGGGAAUAAUCCCCGGGACGUGUCCCGGGUUGCAUGUACCGUAAGAAUAAGCAUCGGCUAACUCCGUGCCAGCAACCGCGGUAAUACGGAGGAUGCAAGCGUUAUCCGGAUUUAUUAGGUUUAAAGGGUGCGUAGGCCGUAAUGUAAGUCAGUGGUGAAAUCUUGGAGCUUAACUUCGAAACUGCCAUUGAUACUGCGUUACUUGAGUUAAGUUGAGGUAGGCGGAAUGUGUAAUGUAGCGGUGAAAUGCAUAGAGAUUACACAGAACACCGAUUGCGAAGGCAGCUUACUAAGCUUAAACUGACGCUAAUGCACGAAAGCGUGGGUAGCGAACAGGAUUAGAUACCCUGGUAGUCCACGCUGUAAACGAUGAGCACUCGCUGUUGGCGAUAUAUUGUCAGUGGCUGAGCGAAAGCAUUAAGUGCUCCACCUGGGGAGUACGUCGGCAACGAUGAAACUCAAAGGAAUUGACGGGGGCCCGCACAAGCGGUGGAACAUGUGGUUUAAUUCGAUGAUACGCGAGGAACCUUACCUGGGUUUAAAUUUAGUAUGACUUUAGCCGAAAGGUUAUUUCCCUUCGGGGCAUAUUAGAAGGUGCUGCAUGGCUGUCGUCAGCUCGUGCCGUGAGGUGUCGGGUUAAGUCCCAUAACGAGCGCAACCCCUAUCGUUAGUUGCCAACGGGUCAAGCCGGGGACUCUAACGAGACUGCCACCGUAAGGUGAGAGGAAGGUGGGGAUGACGUCAAGUCAGCACGGCCCUUACGUCCAGGGCUACACACGUGUUACAAUGGCCGGUACAAAGGGCAGCUAAAUAGUGAUAUUGUGCUAAUCUCGAAAACCGGUCUCAGUUCGGAUCGGAGUCUGCAACUCGACUUCGUGAAGCUGGAAUCGCUAGUAAUCGCGUAUCAGCAACGACGCGGUGAAUACGUUCCCGGGCCUUGUACACACCGCCCGUCAAGCCAUGGAAGCCGGGGGUACCUGAAGUCUGUAACCGCAAGGAGCGGCCUAGGGUAAAACUGGUGACUGGGGCUAAGUCGUAACAAGGUA
This 1480-nucleotide ribosomal RNA is filed under the name metagenome. RNAcentral describes it as "bacterial SSU rRNA". It matches the Rfam family "Bacterial small subunit ribosomal RNA". The record is from RNAcentral.